AUGAACAUCACCCACUCUCCCCCAACUUCUCUCUCCCUGGUUGCUUUAUUCUCUCUCUUCAAAACCCAUAGAAAUCUGCAAAUCCAACUGUGCAUAUUCGAUGGUGUCCCCGCAUUGCACUUUCGUCGACAGUGUCGACGAUGCAGGAUCGACGAGCUCAGGUCGCCGUUUGAAAACAAGUUUUAAAAAAAUCAACGAGCUCCUGUUAUUAAUAUUUCUUCAUGAUGUGCAGUUCAUAAAAUCGGCUUGUUAUAUAUAUUUAAAUCGCGAUCCUCAACUUCUUCUCGGUCAUCCCUUCCUUCCAUGAAACUGCAAUUUUCAUAAGGAGAAAGAUAACGAUAAUAAAGGAAAAUUAUUCCUUUGCUGUAGUCGAAAUUGUGAAUUUUGAAUCAAGAGGUGAAUGUAGUCGUGGCAACACUACCACCCCUACCACUAUGAUGGACAACACAGAUGAAGAAAUGUCGUGCAUGUUUCGAUCUAGAGUUCGGAUAAGUGACGAAGAAGAAUUGCAGAUUUCAUUGAAGGUGAAUGUGAGCAUCUCCGGAUGGAAACAAGAACCACGGAAGUGAAUGCAAAAGGGAAGCGGCCUACUUGACAUGUUGCAUCAUGGAAACAUUUUAGAUGCUUCGGUUUUGUGUAGAUAAGAACUAAUUACCAAUUUUAUGUUCUGAACUUGCAGUCGUUGUGGAUAUUCCAUAUUGCAUUAUGCCCUUGUAUAUUAAUCUAUUUUUGCAUUAUGCCCUUAUGUAUUACCGAAACCCAUGGUUCGCCUGGAAAGAAAAUGAAUUUAGGAAUUAGAAUUUCACUAA
Olea europaea var. sylvestris is the source of this 809-nucleotide RNA transcript. RefSeq lists it as uncharacterized. The record is from RefSeq and is a predicted model, not a curated record. The transcript is spliced from 2 exons. NCBI's taxonomy places the organism in Eukaryota, Viridiplantae, Streptophyta, Magnoliopsida, Lamiales, Oleaceae.